GAUUUCUGGGAUUUUGGCCUUGGUCCGCCGGUUUACGCCGGUUGUGUUUGCCGAGGUUGGGUCUCAUCCUCCCGGAGUGCCUAGCCUGCCCUUUACUGGGUUGGGCUAGUGUGUUCUGGGACAUUUACUUUGAAAAAAUUAGAGUGUUUAAAGCAGGCUUUUGCUAUGAAUACAUUAGCAUGGAAUAAUAAUCUAGGACUUCGGUUCUAUUUUGUUGGUUUCUAUAACUGAAGUAAUGAUUGAUAGGGAUAGUUGGGGGUGCUAGUAUUGGCCGGCCAGAGGUGAAAUUCUUGGAUUCGGUCAAGACUAACUUAUGCGAAAGCAUU
This 326-nucleotide ribosomal RNA is filed under the name Rhogostoma sp. Its description in RNAcentral is "SSU rRNA". It matches the Rfam family "Eukaryotic small subunit ribosomal RNA", at positions 634 to 955 of the family's 1831-position model. The record is from RNAcentral. Lineage: Eukaryota; Cercozoa; Thecofilosea; Cryomonadida; Rhogostomidae.